Molecule: non-coding RNA, 854 nt
Organism: Triticum urartu
Lineage: Eukaryota; Viridiplantae; Streptophyta; Magnoliopsida; Poales; Poaceae
Source: RefSeq, a predicted model, not a curated record
GCUAGAACAAGAAAGCCAAAGUGUCAUGUUUUGCCCCUAAAUUUCAUUUUGCAUAGUCAAUAAAUUAGAAAUGGCUAGUACGGUAAUACCUUUAAUAACAGGAAUGUGAAUUUUGUAAGCUAGCUAGGCCAUACAUGCACUUCCAUCUCUGUCAUACAAGUUGGGCAAACUUUGUGUUUGGAUAUGUACUGCACUAAUUGAUAUAGGUAAUUAUAUUCUUGAUGCUACACGAGGUUUGUCUCCUUUUAUCGCCUGCUAAUUGAUGAUUGGUGAUUAUAGUAGGGCAUGGAUGCUGAUUUAUUUAUUUUUUGCUAAGAGUUUGUAUCAUGUGCCUUUCUGUUCUCAUAGUGAAAUGACAAUGGUGCCAAUAUGGUAUAAGAAUUAUGAUGCUUUAAAUGCUGAUAGGGCCAUUUACGUCCUCUGAUUCGUUGCCCGAGCAGAUCUACAACAUCCUCUACUUCUUAACUGAUGAAGGCAAGCUGGGGACUGGUCCAUUUGCAAAAGCAGCAAUGCAACCACAAGCAAGCUGAGGAGGUGCCUCAAAGAUACACAAGUUGAUCUACAGGCUGCCCUGAAGAUUUGGGAGACCUACGACUAAGUUGGUGGAGUGAAAUUGUAAUAAGCCUUGUUUGUUGAACUUGGAGAUAUUGGCACGUUUUACGCUCAUUUUGUUUUUUGUUUUGGCACAUAAGUCACAAGUUUUACUCUCAUUUUGAUUGUGUUGCACAUCUAGAAACAUAUGUUCUUUUCCUUUUUGUUGCACGUCCUUGUAUAUUGUUGUCUCAUGAAUGUAUCAAAGGAAAAUACAUAUUUUGUCUAUUAUGUUUAUCGAAUGAAGUUUAAGAUUUUGGAUG